AAGUCGUAACAAGGUAUCCGUAGGUGAACCUGCGGAUGGAUCAUUACCAAUUUUAUAUAUUAGUGUGUAUGCCGCUGUCAAAGGUGGUACUACACUACUACUAUUAUGUAAACGUUGAACUAGAUCAAUUGGUGUGGAUUGCUUGGGAAUGGACGAAGCGACAAGCCUCUUCCGGACAGGCAAACCCCACACUGAUAACCCUUUUCAAUAUAAUUUACUAGUACAUACUACAAACAAACAAACAAAAGCUAUAAUAGGACUUAUAAACAGGCUGAGUGGGUAAAAUCCUCGGCUUAACAAUAUAACUAUUACAACUUUCAGCAAUGGAUCUCUAGGCUCUC
RNAcentral lists this unclassified non-coding RNA (341 nucleotides) under Ramicandelaber taiwanensis. RNAcentral describes it as "partial internal transcribed spacer region". The stretch from base 1 to 46 matches the Rfam family "Eukaryotic small subunit ribosomal RNA", at positions 1786 to 1831 of the family's 1831-position model. The record is from RNAcentral. Lineage: Eukaryota; Fungi; Kickxellomycota; Ramicandelaberales; Ramicandelaberaceae.